GGCUAACGCUGGCGGCGUGUCUUAGCCAUGCAAGUCGAGCGGACUUAUGGGGUAACUUAUAAGUCAGCGGCGGACGGCGGAGUAACACGUAGCUAACCUACCCUCUGGACGGGGAUAACCUACCGAAAGGUGGGCUAAUACCCGAUGUAGUCAUCCUGUAUAGGGGUGAUGAAAGGUGGGCUUCUGUUUACAAGCUCAUGCUGGAGGAGGGGGCUGCGGCCUAUCAGGUAGUUGGUAGGGUAAUAGCCUACCAAGCCGAUGACGGGUAGCCGGCCUGAGAGGGUGACCGGCCCGAGGGGCACUGAGAUACGGGUCCCACUCCUACGGGAGGCAGCAGGCUAGAAAUUUGGGCAAUGGGGGAAACCCUGACCCAGUGACGCCGCGUGCAGGAAGGAGCCCUUCGGGGUGUAAACUGCUGUCGUGUAGGGAGAAGGGUACUAAGGUGAACAAUCUUAGUACUUGACGUACUACAGGAGGAAGCCCAGGCUAACCUCGUGCCAGCAGCCACGGUAAGAUAGCGUACU
RNAcentral lists this ribosomal RNA (524 nucleotides) under uncultured bacterium. Its description in RNAcentral is "bacterial SSU rRNA". It matches the Rfam family "Bacterial small subunit ribosomal RNA", at positions 28 to 531 of the family's 1533-position model. The record is from RNAcentral.